UACGUAGGGUGCAAGCGUUAUCCGGAAUUAUUGGGCGUAAAGAGCUCGUAGGCGGUUUGUCGCGUCUGCUGUGAAAACUCGGGGCUUAACCCCGGGCCUGCAGUGGGUACGGGCAGACUAGAGUGCGGUAGGGGAGACUGGAAUUCCUGGUGUAGCGGUGAAAUGCGCAGAUAUCAGGAGGAACACCGGUGGCGAAGGCGGGUCUCUGGGCCGUAACUGACGCUGAGGAGCGAAAGCGUGGGGAGCGAUCCGG
Molecule: ribosomal RNA, 253 nt
Filed under: uncultured bacterium
Lineage: Bacteria
Description: partial 16S ribosomal RNA
Rfam family: Bacterial small subunit ribosomal RNA
Source: RNAcentral